CAGGCUGCCAAUGGCAGGAAGCUGUGCUGGUCUAGAAUUUGGUUAUUUGAGCCAUCAGAUUGAUAAAGGUAGUUCUGGUCAUAGAGGCGGGUUUAUUUUAUCUCACUUUUGCUAGGAAAACCUGGCAGUGCUAUCAGUACAGUCACAGGAAACCAGUUCAAUGCAGACACCUCUGGCUAUGUAGUCCAGGCUUUGAACUUGCAAUUCACCACCCUCCUGCCUCAAUCUCCUGAGCCCUGACUCUAUAGGCAUGUGCCACCAUGCCUGGCCUGAACUAUUUUAACCAAAAAUGAUUAAAAGUAGAAAAACAGUUAAAGUUUCAGUGGCUACUACAUAUGCUCUCCAUAUAUUUUAGCAAAAGUAAUGGUCUUAAAUGUAACUGCCAAACUCUGGUAUAUUGGGAAUUCAGUUUGAUUUUCCACAUGGAAUCAGAGAUUUCAAAGUAGAACCUCAUUCAAAUCUAUCUUAAGAAUGUGAAACAGUGUAAAAAUAAAACCUUUGUUUAUAUAUGCAAAUAAAUAAUACAUAGUGAUAAAUGGAAAAUAUACCCAAGAAAAAUGAUAGAAAGAGCUUGGCUUCAACACAUCUAAGCUCUGUGGGACUCUCCUGAUAUUCUAAAACUCACAAAGGUUUCUAUACCAUGAAUUGAUAUAAACAAUAAAUGGGUGAAACAAAAAUAAAGCACCAAACUGAGGAAAAUGCAGACCAGAACAUGAAGUCACAGCUAAGAAUACAAAUGAUAGGGCUACAUUAGUUCAGAAGCCUGCAAAGUCGCUGUAGUUAAGCAUGGCACUUGUUCCUGAGCUUUCUUAUGGUGGCAAAGUGAACAGGAUGAUAUAAUUACAGAGAAAUUACUGCCCAAAAGGAGAAAAUGUACUGGUGUUGCAAGAAAAACAAAGCUUCUCUCAGUAUUUAACUCCAGUUGAAAUGCUCCUGAAGUGCUUCCUCUAAAGGCUGAAAGACAUAGUGGGUAAUAUAUCUAAAGCUAAUACAGUAACAACUUUUUAAAGUUAUUUCUUGUCAUGUUGUCCCAUGAAAGUUGAAAGGAAUAAACAAGCGCAAAAGUGUUAACAAAUCAGCAAAGGGCAGUUCAGUAAAGAAGUGCUCAUUGAAUGCUUCUAAUAUCAAAUAGGGAUAUUGUAUUUGGUUGUUACUGCCUCCCAGGUCUAAAAUGGUUCUGUCUGAUCAAUACAUAACAUUCUCAUUUGCAGAUAAGAAAGGCAGAAUUAGAGCCCAGAAAACUAUUAAAUCUUUAAGAUGCCAAACAUGACAUUCUUUACAUCUUUACUAUUUCCAGCAGAUCAUAAAGGAAAGAUGCACAUUACUGAAAUAUAUCCACAAGGUUCUCGGAAGUAGCAAGGCCAUUUUAAAGUCAAGAAAUUUGACUUUUAGUGAUAAUUUUGUUUUGACAAUUUAAACCUUUUAUUUGGUACAAAGCUUCUAUCAAAGACUACCUGUCUGAAAAACAGAAAACUAAGUCUAAUUUGGUGAUAUCCAUAUAAACUUAUGUAAAGAUCAAAUCAGAGAAUGUGCUAUGUAAUUAAAAAGUUCUCAGUUGUUAAAAUUAAGAAGCUGGGCUGUAAUUCAGUGGUGCAGCACCUGCGUGGCAUGCACAGUCUGAGGUUUUUUUUUUCCCUGCACCACAAAAAUAAAUAAAAUAAAUGAGAUUAAUACUAACAGUUAACUUGACUAAAAUUUGAUAAUGAACUCAUGCAUUCAGCAAAUACUUACUGAAUGCCUACAGUGUGCCAGUUAUUGUUCAUGGAUCAUCAUUCAUUUGAAUUAAGAUUUUUUUUACUGUAAGAUUAAAUCCUUUCUUAAGCCUCAGCUGAAGCUUAAUCAGGUUUAACAUUUGCUAAGAUUUAUUAAAUAUCGAACCAUUCUUUUAAUGCUGGCAAGUUAAUUUUUUUUAAUUCUUUCUAAAUAAAUCAACUAAAAACUUCUCAUGCCAAACUCACUGAUUGACAAGAUUCACUCUGCAACACUACCACAAAGGGGGUGGGAAGACUCUGUGUCCUCUUCUAGUCUUAUCUCAUCAAUGCAGAAAUAAAAUCGAAAGCAGUUCAGAUCUUUGCUUCAGCUCUUCAGUAACAAACCAGAAAAUGCAUUUGUAAUCAUGGAAGAGAAAGUUAAAACCUCUCUCCUUACACUAGAGGCAACCCUUCCUCGGCCCUCUGAGGACCUCUGUCAUGUACUACUUGAGGCGCAAAUCCCUCCCCAAGCCCUGGAGACUCGGGAGUCUCCAAAGUUUGCACUUCACUACAGAAUGAGGUGUUGUGGGCAGAAGAGAGGACAGUAGGCUUGGGGAAGGCACUAAAAUUUAAGGGAAAA
Cavia porcellus (domestic guinea pig) is the source of this 2331-nucleotide long non-coding RNA. RefSeq lists it as uncharacterized. Lineage: Eukaryota; Metazoa; Chordata; Mammalia; Rodentia; Caviidae. The record is from RefSeq and is a predicted model, not a curated record. The transcript is spliced from 2 exons.